GAUGAACGCUGGCGGCGUGCCUAAUACAUGCAAGUCGAGCGAACGGACGAGAAGCUUGCUUUUCUGAUGUUAGCGGCGGACGGGUGAGUAACACGUGGAUAACCUACCUAUAAGACUGGGAUAACUUCGGGAAACCGGAGCUAAUACCGGAUAAUAUUUUGAACCGCAUGGUUCAAAAGUGAAAGACGGUCUUGCUGUCACUUAUAGAUGGAUCCGCGCUGCAUUAGCUAGUCGGUAAGGUAACGGCUUACCAAGGCAACGAUGCAUAGCCGACCUGAGAGGGUGAUCGGCCACACUGGAACUGAGACACGGUCCAGACUCCUACGGGAGGCAGCAGUAGGGAAUCUUCCGCAAUGGGCGAAAGCCUGACGGAGCAACGCCGCGUGAGUGAUGAAGGUCUUCGGAUCGUAAAACUCUGUUAUUAGGGAAGAACAUAUGUGUAAGUAACUGUGCACAUCUUGACGGUACCUAAUCAGAAAGCCACGGCUAACUACGU
This 496-nucleotide ribosomal RNA is filed under the name uncultured bacterium. RNAcentral's name for it is "partial 16S ribosomal RNA". It matches the Rfam family "Bacterial small subunit ribosomal RNA", at positions 28 to 506 of the family's 1533-position model. The record is from RNAcentral.